UACCUAAGCUGGUAGCCCUAGCGGCUAUGUC
Molecule: small RNA, 31 nt
Filed under: Bombyx mori (domestic silkworm)
Lineage: Eukaryota; Metazoa; Arthropoda; Insecta; Lepidoptera; Bombycidae
Description: ovarian small RNA-20817
Source: RNAcentral